UACGGAGGGUGCAAGCGUUAAUCGGAAUUACUGGGCGUAAAGGGUGCGUAGGUGGUUAGUUAAGUUAUCUGUGAAAUACCUGGGCUCAACCCAGGAAGGUCAGAUAAGACUGAUUGACUAGAGUAUGGGAGAGGGCAGUGGAAUUUCCGGUGUAGCGGUGAAAUGCGUAGAGAUCGGAAGGAACACCAGUGGCGAAGGCGGCUGCCUGGCCUAAUACUGACACUGAGGCACGAAAGCGUGGGGAGCAAACAGG
This 253-nucleotide ribosomal RNA is filed under the name uncultured bacterium. Its description in RNAcentral is "partial 16S ribosomal RNA". It matches the Rfam family "Bacterial small subunit ribosomal RNA", at positions 524 to 776 of the family's 1533-position model. The record is from RNAcentral.